Molecule: ribosomal RNA, 497 nt
Filed under: uncultured bacterium
Lineage: Bacteria
Description: partial 16S ribosomal RNA
Rfam family: Bacterial small subunit ribosomal RNA
Source: RNAcentral
GACGAACGCUGGCGGCGUGCCUAAUACAUGCAAGUUGAGCGCUGAAGGUUGGUACUUGUACCAACUGGAUGAGCAGCGAACGGGUGAGUAACGCGUGGGGAAUCUGCCUUUGAGCGGGGGACAACAUUUGGAAACGAAUGCUAAUACCGCAUAAAAACUUUAAACACAAGUUUUAAGUUUGAAAGAUGCAAUUGCAUCACUCAAAGAUGAUCCCGCGUUGUAUUAGCUAGUUGGUGAGGUAAAGGCUCACCAAGGCGAAGAUACAUAGCCGACCUGAGAGGGUGAUCGGCCACAUUGGGACUGAGACACGGCCCAAACUCCUACGGGAGGCAGCAGGAGGGAAUCUUCGGCAAUGGACGAAAGUCUGACCGAGCAACGCCGCGGGAGGGAAGAAGGUUUUCGGAUCGUAAAACUCUGUUGGUAGAGAAGAACGUUGGUGAGAGUGGAAAGCUCAUCAAGUGACGGUAACUACCCAGAAAGGGACGGCUAACUACGUG